Long non-coding RNA from Hippoglossus stenolepis (Pacific halibut), 559 nucleotides. RefSeq lists it as uncharacterized. The transcript is spliced from 3 exons. Lineage: Eukaryota; Metazoa; Chordata; Actinopteri; Pleuronectiformes; Pleuronectidae. The record is from RefSeq and is a predicted model, not a curated record.
UUAGCCAGAGGUUAGCUCGAGGUAGGCUGCUACAAGCUGAAACAACAGCCAGAUACAGACAGACGGAGGUUACAAGAAGUGCAAAUGACUGCAAACUGGGGUAUAACCUCGUGGUAUAAAGCAAAAGACAGAAACACAUCGUCUGUAUGUCGUCUUCACAGCAGCUGGCUUCUCCCUCCUGCACAUCUUCGCUCUGAGCUUGGCAGCUUUUCGUCGACGAGUGCUAUUUAUUAGUGGAUUUGAGCUUUUAAACUUCAAUAUGUGCGGACACGGGGAGUCGUGGCCGGGGUUUCGAACUUGCAUCUGUUUUGAAGACGAUGCAAAAAGAGGGGAAGAAGAAGAAGAAGGAGGAGGAGGAGGAGAUGAAGUGGGAAACAGAAGGCCCCGGUUCAACAUUCGCUCCCACGUCUCGGACGCUUUUCAGCUGCAUGGAAGUUUCCAGAUUCUCUUCAGCCCAGCGAAGGAAAGGUCUCACACAGGGAAACACAAAGACGUUCUUCUUGUGCUUGUAUCAGACUUUUCAACCAAAUAAAGAUAAAUAUAAGCAUGUGUAUGAUCG